AAUAAGGUCACGAGACUCACAUAGUCACAAGUCACACAACCUUUGACAUCAGCCUGGAACCACACACACACAUGCACAAUAUAUAUGUAUAGUCUCCUCUAUCAUUUGUUUUCAUCUUCUCUUAUAUCUCCAAAUCUCUCUUCCAAAAGACAUACAGAUGGUGGUGAGGAUGAGAUUGGGGAAGAUUGUGGAAGGCUUGAAGUCGAAGAUAAAGACUAGUCUAAAGUUGCGGAAGAGAUCAUCAUUAUCAUCAUCAUCAUCAUCCUCGUCGUCAUCAUCAUCUUCAUCGUAUGAGAAGAUAGAGAAGAGCGAGAGCAUGAGAUUUGAGUUGAGAAGCAGAAAGGCACACAAAAUCAUCCAACAAACUCUUCAAAUUGCCGACUCUCCUACCUCAAGAACUUAUGCUUUUUGAUUUCAUCUUUUUAACAUCCAAAACAUAUUCAUACAUACAUAUAUAUGGAUUUGCGUGUACGCAUCUGUUUAUACAUAUAUAUAUCCCAUCUAGAAUUUGUACAUGUGGUGUAUGUAUGUGUAAGUUUAUAUGGAUGAUGUGAUUGUGUUUGA
Long non-coding RNA from Eutrema salsugineum, 564 nucleotides. RefSeq lists it as uncharacterized. Lineage: Eukaryota; Viridiplantae; Streptophyta; Magnoliopsida; Brassicales; Brassicaceae. The record is from RefSeq and is a predicted model, not a curated record. The transcript has 2 exons.